This 301-nucleotide ribosomal RNA is filed under the name uncultured bacterium. Its description in RNAcentral is "partial 16S ribosomal RNA". It matches the Rfam family "Bacterial small subunit ribosomal RNA", at positions 509 to 807 of the family's 1533-position model. The record is from RNAcentral.
CAGUCGCCGCGGGAAUACGAAGGGGGCUAGCGUUGCUCGGAAUCACUGGGCGUAAAGGGUGCGUAGGCGGGUCUUUAAGUCAGGGGUGAAAUCCUGGAGCUCAACUCCAGAACUGCCUUUGAUACUGAAGAUCUUGAGUAUGGGAGAGGUGAGUGGAACUGCGAGUGUAGAGGUGAAAUUCGUAGAUAUUCGCAAGAACACCAGUGGCGAAGGCGGCUCACUGGCCCAUAACUGACGCUGAGGCACGAAAGCGUGGGGAGCAAACAGGAUUAGAUACCCCCGUAGUCCCUGUCUCUUAUAC